RNAcentral lists this non-coding RNA (340 nucleotides) under Halanaerobium saccharolyticum subsp. saccharolyticum DSM 6643. Its description in RNAcentral is "Bacterial large subunit ribosomal RNA". It matches the Rfam family "Bacterial large subunit ribosomal RNA", at positions 2587 to 2925 of the family's 2925-position model. The record is from Rfam by way of RNAcentral. Lineage: Bacteria; Bacillati; Bacillota; Clostridia; Halanaerobiales; Halanaerobiaceae.
AUUAAAGCGGUACGCGAGCUGGGUUCAGAACGUCGUGAGACAGUUCGGUCCCUAUCCGUCGCAGGCGAAAGAUACUUGAGAAGAGCUGUCCCCAGUACGAGAGGACCGGGAUGGACACACCGAUGGUGAAUCAGUUGUUCCACCAGGAGCAUAGCUGAGUAGCUAAGUGUGGAAAAGAUAAGCGCUGAAAGCAUCUAAGCGUGAAACAGACUUCAAGAUUAGGUAUCUCACUUUGUUAAGAAGGUAAGAUCCCUUAAAGAUGAUAAGGUAGAUAGGCCAGAGGUGUAAGUGUAGUAAUACAUUAAGCUAACUGGUACUAAUAGAUCGAGGGCUUAAUCAU